This 468-nucleotide ribosomal RNA is filed under the name uncultured bacterium. RNAcentral's name for it is "partial 16S ribosomal RNA". It matches the Rfam family "Bacterial small subunit ribosomal RNA", at positions 28 to 507 of the family's 1533-position model. The record is from RNAcentral.
GACGAACGCUGGCGGCGUGCUUAACACAUGCAAGUCGAACGGAAAGGCCCUGCUUUUGUGGGGUGCUCGAGUGGCGAACGGGUGAGUAACACGUGAGUAACCUGCCCUUGACUUUGGGAUAACUUCAGGAAACUGGGGCUAAUACCGGAUAGGAGCUCCUGCUGCAUGGUGGGGGUUGGAAAGUUUCGGCGGUUGGGGAUGGACUCGCGGCUUAUCAGCUUGUUGGUGGGGUAGUGGCUUACCAAGGCUUUGACGGGUAGCCGGCCUGAGAGGGUGACCGGCCACAUUGGGACGGAGAUACGGCACAGACUCCUACGGGAGGCAGCAGUGGGGAAUAGUGCACAAUGGGCGGAAGCCUGAUGCAGCAACGCCGCGUGCGGGAUGACGGCCUUCGGGUUGUAAACCGCUUUCGCCUGUGACGAAGCGUGAGUGACGGUAAUGGGUAAAGAAGCACCGGCUAACUACGUG